UAUACCAUAUUUAGCUUAUUGUAAUUAAUCUAUAUCAAAUAGUAUAUCUGACUUAUUUUGUAUUUAUUGUAUUUCCAUUAUUCUUCUAGCCUUACUCACCUAUAUAUAGGGUAUUCUAUAUAUUGUACAUUUAGAUAUAGAGAAAUACAACUUGUUCUCUCUCUUAAUUCCUUUUUAAGCAGUUAUUUAUCAUGGUACAAAGUUAUUGAUUUCCUAGUGUCUCUAGCAGCGUUUCUCCCCAUCUGUAAUAAGUCUCAUACUCAACGUAUUAUUUGAUAUUCAUUUUUGCUCACCAUACAUUUAUUAGAGACUUUCUAAGCACUUAACAGAUUGCUGCCCUCUUUCCCAUCAUCAAUCACAUGCAUCGGUUUGCUCUCAUGUACUGUAUGACUUGUAUACUCGUCAUAUUUGCACAAAUCGCCACCACAGAUUGAUCCUUGAACUAUGGUCAAUUUUUUAUGCAAAAGUACUCUGUUAUGGUCAAACAUGCGCCCCCACACGCUGCCACAAGUUCCAAUGCCCGCUUCGAAAGCCUCUCCUCUUUCCAACCCUGACAGCUCUCUCUCUCAUUUUGGUUCCCUCUCAGUCUCUCUUCUCUCUCUCUCUUCUCCUCAUUGUGUUGCAUCCCUUCGUGCCCUGUAGCGGCGAAGGCCUUGUCUCUUCUCUCUCUCCAUCUACGGCUCUCACUCGCACUCUAACCGUCUCCCAUCAUGCUCUUUCCUACGCCAGAACAUUGCAGCGGUCUCCCCCACCACACACAACUACUGUCAAGCCUCUCAUGCCUCUCAUGCCUCAAACACCAUUCUCUACCUCAUGCCUUAGCCCCAUGUCUCGUUUGCUAUCCUUGUCUCCACCCUGCUCCUGGUCUCGGUCACGAGCACGUUGCUGGUUAAAGGGUUCACCAUUGAGUACGGAGCAUGACAAUCGGCCUUUCAAAGCUUUUGAAUGAAUGGUUUAAAGAUGAAAGAAGACAAAUAGAUCAUCAGACAAAUACAAAUUCUUACCGUUGAGCCAUAACAAUCCAGUAUAAUAAGCUGCGGCACAUGGAGAGAAGAAAUAAAGGAAAUGUUGAAGAAGAAACUAUGGAGCAAGACAUCGUUAGGAAGGGGGAGCUGGAUGCCUAGCCUACACCUAGCCAGUGUUGGGUGUGUAUAUGAUGUUGGGAAUUUUAUUUUGGUUGGUUGUAGUGUGAGACAUGUAUUUUAAGAUAAAAUAUUUUGUGAACCAGGUAGAUGUGUCUACCCAGAAGAUGACUGUAGUUUUAACUUGUAAUUAAGGGGACUGUCCUAUGUUUUGAUAAAUAGGUUAUUUUGGGACUUUGAAAUAUGAUAGAA
This is a long non-coding RNA of Juglans regia (Persian walnut), 1334 nucleotides long. RefSeq lists it as uncharacterized. NCBI's taxonomy places the organism in Eukaryota, Viridiplantae, Streptophyta, Magnoliopsida, Fagales, Juglandaceae. The record is from RefSeq and is a predicted model, not a curated record. The transcript is spliced from 4 exons.